Molecule: ribosomal RNA, 372 nt
Filed under: uncultured organism
Description: bacterial SSU rRNA
Rfam family: Bacterial small subunit ribosomal RNA
Source: RNAcentral
CAGAGGUCUCAAGCGUUGUUCGGAUUCAUUGGGCGUAAAGGGUGCGUAGGUGGCGGGGUAAGUCAGGUGUGAAAUCUCGGAGCUCAACUCCGAAACUGCACUUGAUACUGCCUUGCUCGAGUACUGGAGAGGAGAUUGGAAUUUACGGUGUAGCAGUGAAAUGCGUAGAUAUCGUAAGGAAGACCAGUGGCGAAGGCGAAUCUCUGGACAGUUACUGACACUGAGGCACGAAGGCCAGGGGAGCAAACGGGAUUAGAUACCCCGGUAGUCCUGGCAGUAAACGGUGCGCGUUUGGUGUGGGAGGAUUCGACCCCUUCUGUGCCGGAGCUAACGCGUUAAACGCGUCGCCUGGGGAGUACGGUCGCAAGAUUA